RNAcentral lists this long non-coding RNA (444 nucleotides) under Homo sapiens (human). RNAcentral describes it as "lncAB423.1". Lineage: Eukaryota; Metazoa; Chordata; Mammalia; Primates; Hominidae. The record is from RNAcentral.
CAUAUAAUACAUAUUUGUGAAUGAGACAUAUUCCCAAAAAAUUCUUAUCUCUGUAUGUGAUUGGAAAAGAAAAGAUCACAUUUGUAUAUUCAACAAUCUUUCACCUAUUUCAUAAGUCAUUUUUUCAUCCUGUAUAGUAUGGGAAUUAUUUUUUAUGUUAAAUAGAAACUGAAUGUACUGGGUUGAAUGGUGUCCUCUCCAAAAUUCAUGUACUUCCUGGAGCCUCAGAAUGUGACCUUAUUUGGAAAUACUGUGGUUGUGGUUGUAAGUAGCUAAGAUGAGGUCAUACUGGAGCAGGGCAGGCCCUUAAUCCAAUAUGACUGGUGUUCCUUAUAAGAGAAGAUAGGGCGGGCAUGGUGGCUCACGCCUGUAAUCCCAGCACUGUGGGAGGCCAAGCCAGGCAAAUCGCUUGAGGCUCAGGAGUUCAAGACCAGCCUGGCCAAC